CUACAGAGGGUGCGAGCGUUAAUCGGAAUUACUGGGCGUAAAGCGCGCGUAGGCGGCUUGGUCAGUCGGAUGUGAAAGCCCCGGGCUCAACCUGGGAAUGGCAUUCGAUACUGCCAGGCUAGAGUAUGGGAGAGGGAAGUGGAAUUUCCGGUGUAGCGGUGAAAUGCGUAGAUAUCGGAAGGAACACCAGUGGCGAAGGCGACUUCCUGGCCCAAUACUGACGCUGAGGUGCGAAAGCGUGGGGAGCGAACAGGAUUAGAUACCCUAGUAGUCC
RNAcentral lists this ribosomal RNA (274 nucleotides) under uncultured bacterium. RNAcentral's name for it is "partial 16S ribosomal RNA". It matches the Rfam family "Bacterial small subunit ribosomal RNA", at positions 523 to 796 of the family's 1533-position model. The record is from RNAcentral.